UACGGAGGGGGCGAGCGUUAUUCGGAAUUAUUGGGCGUAAAGGCCCGUAGGCGGCCCGGUAAGUCAAAGGUGAAAUCCCUCGGCUCAACUGAGGAACUGCCUUUGAAACUGUCGGGCUUGAGGCCGGGAGGGGGUAGCGGAAUUCCCAGUGUAGCGGUGAAAUGCGUAGAUAUUGGGAGGAACACCGGUGGCGAAGGCGGCUACCUGGACCGGUUCUGACGCUGAGGUGCGAAAGCGUGGGGAGCAAACAGG
RNAcentral lists this ribosomal RNA (252 nucleotides) under uncultured bacterium. Its description in RNAcentral is "partial 16S ribosomal RNA". It matches the Rfam family "Bacterial small subunit ribosomal RNA", at positions 524 to 776 of the family's 1533-position model. The record is from RNAcentral.